RNAcentral lists this ribosomal RNA (274 nucleotides) under uncultured bacterium. RNAcentral's name for it is "partial 16S ribosomal RNA". It matches the Rfam family "Bacterial small subunit ribosomal RNA", at positions 523 to 796 of the family's 1533-position model. The record is from RNAcentral.
AUACGGAGGGUGCAAGCGUUAUCCGGAUUUACUGGGUUUAAAGGGUGCGCAGGCGGUAAUUUAAGUCAGUGGUGAAAGCCUACAGCUCAACUGUAGAACUGCCAUUGAAACUGAAUUACUUGAGUGUGGUAGAGGUAGGCGGAAUACAACAUGUAGCGGUGAAAUGCAUAGAUAUGUUAUAGAACACCGAUUGCGAAGGCAGCUUACUAAACCAUUACUGACGCUCAGGCACGAAAGCGUGGGGAGCGAACAGGAUUAGAUACCCUAGUAGUCC